RNAcentral lists this ribosomal RNA (157 nucleotides) under Fusarium proliferatum. RNAcentral describes it as "5.8S ribosomal RNA". It matches the Rfam family "5.8S ribosomal RNA". Rfam says of the family: 5.8S ribosomal RNA (5.8S rRNA) is a component of the large subunit of the eukaryotic ribosome. Lineage: Eukaryota; Fungi; Ascomycota; Sordariomycetes; Hypocreales; Nectriaceae. The record is from RNAcentral.
AUAAAUCAAAACUUUCGACAACGGAUCUCUUGGUUCUGGCAUCGAUGAAGAACGCAGCAAAAUGCGAUAAGUAAUGUGAAUUGCAGAAUUCAGUGAAUCAUCGAAUCUUUGAACGCACAUUGCGCCCGCCAGUAUUCUGGCGGGCAUGCCUGUUCGA